AGCAGCCGCCGCGGGAAUACGUAGGUGGCAAGCGUUGUCCGGAAUUAUUGGGCGUAAAGCGCGCGCAGGCGGAUAGGUCAGUCUGUCUUAAAAGUUCGGGGCUUAACCCCGUGAUGGGAUGGAAACUGCCAAUCUAGAGUAUCGGAGAGGAAAGUGGAAUUCCUAGUGUAGCGGUGAAAUGCGUAGAUAUUAGGAAGAACACCAGUGGCGAAGGCGACUUUCUGGACGAAAACUGACGCUGAGGCGCGAAAGCCAGGGGAGCGAACGGGAUUAGAUACCCCUGUAGUCCCUGUCUCUUAUACC
Molecule: ribosomal RNA, 303 nt
Filed under: uncultured bacterium
Lineage: Bacteria
Description: partial 16S ribosomal RNA
Rfam family: Bacterial small subunit ribosomal RNA
Source: RNAcentral